Molecule: ribosomal RNA, 253 nt
Filed under: uncultured bacterium
Lineage: Bacteria
Description: partial 16S ribosomal RNA
Rfam family: Bacterial small subunit ribosomal RNA
Source: RNAcentral
UACGAAGGGUGCAAGCGUUGCUCGGAAUUAUUGGGCGUAAAGCGCACGUAGGCGGCAUUGCAAGUCGGAUGUGAAAUCCCUCGGCUUAACCAAGGAAGUGCAUCCGAAACUGCAGUGCUUGAGUACUUAAGAGGAUCGCGGAUUUCCCGGUGUAGAGGUGAAAUUCGUAGAUAUCGGGAGGAACACCGGUGGCGAAGGCGGGUCUCUGGGCCGAUACUGACGCUGAGGAGCGAAAGCGUGGGGAGCAAACAGG